Long non-coding RNA from Papaver somniferum (opium poppy), 272 nucleotides. RefSeq lists it as uncharacterized. The record is from RefSeq and is a predicted model, not a curated record. Lineage: Eukaryota; Viridiplantae; Streptophyta; Magnoliopsida; Ranunculales; Papaveraceae. The transcript is spliced from 3 exons.
AAUUGAUUUUCUGGGUUCGUGAAGAGUGAAUUGAUUUUCUGUUCGAUUAAUAAUAUAUUGGAGUUCUAGUGAAAUCUUUAAAUUUUGGUUUGAGCAGUUUGGAUAAGUGGUUGUCCCCUAAAUCUGAUGUCAAGUGUACAAGAGCAAGAGUUACCAGAACCAGACCAUUUCAAGGAUGUUAUGAGUGCUGAUGAUGAAGAUGAUGAUGUUGAGAUGUUAUGAAUGUAUGAUACUAUGAUAGUAUCUGUGUGACUGUGUCUGUGUUUCUUUAA